RNAcentral lists this unclassified non-coding RNA (394 nucleotides) under Zea mays. RNAcentral describes it as "misc RNA Zm00001eb287760". The record is from RNAcentral. Lineage: Eukaryota; Viridiplantae; Streptophyta; Magnoliopsida; Poales; Poaceae.
AUCAGUGAAGAGGGGCUGUCUGUGUCCAAAGUAAGUAUUCCAUCUCUGGAAGCAACAGGGCCAUUUGCUGGGAGAGAGAUCAACUUGGCUUUUGAUGAUAUUAAUAUUCCUUCUGCGGCUGACAGCUUGCUCAUCGAAAAACAUAAGACACGUGAGAGCACCAUUCACCUGGGACAUGUUAAUUAUUUUACUGAUGUACCCCGUUCUGUCCUCCAGGAGGCACUUAAGUCUAAUUCUCUUACUAAGAGAGUAAAGACUGAAAAACUUAAUCAAGGGGGUGUCAUGUUAAGUGCCAGGAGGACUAACACAGAUGAAGAUAUAUUGUCCAAAGCUCAGCGUCUGGCAGCAAAGCGUAAUUUAGAAAUCAGUGAGUCUUCCUUCAUUUCUUUUGAUC